Molecule: ribosomal RNA, 492 nt
Filed under: uncultured bacterium
Lineage: Bacteria
Description: partial 16S ribosomal RNA
Rfam family: Bacterial small subunit ribosomal RNA
Source: RNAcentral
AGUGAACGCUGGCGGUAGGCCUAACACAUGCAAGUCGAACGGUAGCACCGUAAGGGCUUGCCGUUAGGGGUGGGGGGGGGUGGCCGGGUGAGGAUUACAUCGGAACUUAGUUUUACGUGGGGGAAACCGGAGGGAAUCUCAGGUUAAUACCCCAUACGCCUUACGGGUGGAAGCAGGGGUUAUUGGGGCCUUGUGCGAUUGAGUGAGCCGAGGUCGGAUUAGCUGGUAGGCGGGGUCAAGGCCAACAAAGGCGACGAACCGUAGCUGGUCGGGGAGGAUGAUCGGCGACACUGGAACUGAGACACGGUCCAGACUCCUACGGGAGGCAGCAGUGGGGAAUAUUGGACAAUGGGCGCAAGCCUGAUCCAGCGAUACCGCGUGGGUGAAGAAGGCCUUCGGGUUGUAAAGCCCUUUUGUUGGGAAAGAAAAGCAGCAGGUUAAUACCCCGCUGUUCUGACGGUACCCAAAGAAUAAGCACCGGCUAACUUCGUG